Molecule: ribosomal RNA, 253 nt
Filed under: uncultured bacterium
Lineage: Bacteria
Description: partial 16S ribosomal RNA
Rfam family: Bacterial small subunit ribosomal RNA
Source: RNAcentral
UACGGAGGGCGCAAGCGUUGUUCGGAAUCACUGGGCGUAAAGCGCGAGUAGGUGGUCUGUUAUGUCAGGUGUGAAAGCCCAAGGCUCAACCUUGGAAUGGCGCUUGAAACUGGCAGACUAGAGUGCAGUAGGGGAGGGUGGAAUUCCUAGUGUAGAGGUAAAAUUCGCAGAUAUCAGGAGGAACACCGGUGGCGAAGGCGGCCACCUGGACGGUAACUGACGCUGAGACGCGAAAGCGUGGGGAGCAAACAGG